RNAcentral lists this ribosomal RNA (230 nucleotides) under uncultured bacterium. RNAcentral describes it as "partial 16S ribosomal RNA". It matches the Rfam family "Bacterial small subunit ribosomal RNA", at positions 30 to 266 of the family's 1533-position model. The record is from RNAcentral.
UUGAACGCUGGCGGCAUGCCUUACACAUGCAAGUCGAACGGUAGAGGGGCAACCCUUGAGAGUGGCGAACGGGUGAGUAAUAUAUCGGAACGUGCCCAGUCGUGGGGGAUAACGCAGCGAAAGCUGCGCUAAUACCGCAUACGAUCUAUGGAUGAAAGCGGGGGAUCGCAAGACCUCGCGCGAUUGGAGCGGCCGAUAUCAGAUUAGGUAGUUGGUGGGGUAAAAGGCCC